RNAcentral lists this unclassified non-coding RNA (391 nucleotides) under soil metagenome. RNAcentral's name for it is "partial contains 5.8S ribosomal RNA, internal transcribed spacer 2, and large subunit ribosomal RNA". The stretch from base 1 to 122 matches the Rfam family "5.8S ribosomal RNA", at positions 35 to 154 of the family's 154-position model. The record is from RNAcentral.
GAUGAAGAACGUAGCGAAAUGCGAUACUUGGUGUGAAUUGCAGAAUCCCGUGAACCAUCGAGUCUUUGAACGCAAGUUGCGCCCGAAGCCACUAGGCCGAGGGCACGCCUGCCUGGGCGUCACACGCCGUUGCCCCCCCAUCUACUCCUUCGGGAUUGCGGGGGGGCGGAUGAUGGCCUCCCGUGCGCCUAGCCGCGCGGUUGGCAUAAAUACCAAGUCCUCGGCGACGCACGCCACGACAAUCGGUGGUUGCGCAACCUCGGUUGCCCGUCGUGUGCGUUCGUCGCGCAUCGAGGGCUCGAAAAAAUGCUCGGCUCCGGCUGGGCUUUCAACGCGACCCCAGGUCAGGCGGGGUUACCCGCUGAAUUUAAGCAUAUCAAUAAGCGGAGGA